UACGUAGGGUGCGAGCGUUGUCCGGAAUUACUGGGCGUAAAGAGCUCGUAGGUGGUUUGUCACGUCGUCUGUGAAAUUCCGGGGCUUAGCCUCGGGCGUGCAGGCGAUACGGGCAAUACUUGAGUGCUGUAGGGGAGACUGGAAUUCCUGGUGUAGCGGUGAAAUGCGCAGAUAUCAGGAGGAACACCAAUGGCGAAGGCAGGUCUCUGGGCAGUUACUGACGCUGAGGAGCGAAAGCAUGGGUAGCGAACAGGAUUA
RNAcentral lists this ribosomal RNA (258 nucleotides) under uncultured prokaryote. RNAcentral's name for it is "partial 16S ribosomal RNA". It matches the Rfam family "Bacterial small subunit ribosomal RNA", at positions 524 to 780 of the family's 1533-position model. The record is from RNAcentral.